This 1121-nucleotide long non-coding RNA is filed under the name Homo sapiens (human). RNAcentral's name for it is "HSALNT0301987". Lineage: Eukaryota; Metazoa; Chordata; Mammalia; Primates; Hominidae. The record is from RNAcentral.
UGCUAACACACAAUGCACUGACCUGACCUCACAGAAAGAAAAUGGAACAACAGAGGUCCCAUCCUUCCAAAUGUCAUCCACUGGUCUUAUCCUUAUGGAAAUAGACAGUACACGGAUCUGGAAUGGAAGCAAAUAAUAACCGGGUCUCCAGAUUCCAUCGUAUCACAGAACAUAGAACCAAGAAAGUACCUUAGAAGUCAUCUGAUCCAGUCACCCCUGUUUUACCAAUGAGGAAUCUAGACCCAGAAGAAGUUAAAGGACUUACCCAAGAGUACCCAACAACUCUCUCACCACCCCAGGCUCCCAUCUUUGUGUCUCUCCUGUGUGAGCUGUUCCCUGAAGUUCUUCCUGAACUUGCACAUUGCCUUUCCCUUUGAUUUUAAAUCCUUGGCUCAAAUGACAUGCCCGGACUAUAUCGUGUGAUAUGAGCUUGAAAAGUAAUUUACGUACAAGUCUUGAAAGCAAAUCAAGUUUUAAAACAAAGUAGCAUCUACUCUGCCCCAGCCUUGACAUCUUAUUACAUAGCAAAUGCUGGCUUUUUAAUUUCCCUAAUCAAGACUGGUCCUAUUUAGCCCACCUCCUCAAGGGGUCCCAGCACUAGCCCCACUCCGACGCCUGAUGAAGUUCCAGAACAGUGGAAUCAAGCACAGAGAUGGGCACGCCUCUUUACAGAACCAAAGAUUCAGAACUGUGCCUUACCCUUUGCUUAUGAGGCGGAGGAGGAGGAAGAGAAAGAACCACCGCAAAGAGAGAUGGCAACAAAGUUUCCUCUCAUACGUGUGAAUGUGCUCAGCUAAGCCCAUUCUUCCUCCGCUGGGUCCUUCUUUACCCGCAUAUGAGAUCAGUACCGACAGACCUUGUGGGGAGGCAACUUUCUAGGAUGGGUCAUCUUCUGAGGCCCCCAGGAUUAACCAGCAUACCCAGAAUUAACCAUUAAACAGGAUUAACCAUCAUCCUUCUCUCUUUCCUUUACUCUGGGCUCCACACGUUUCCUCUCUUGGGCCUUUUCCAUGGCAAGUUUGUCCCAGGGAAACUCAUGCCUGGAAUGGUAGCUCUACGACCUGGUCUUUCUGUGGCGUUUUCCUGUUGCCCACGGAAGUUGGGGACUGGGUUCAGUUUCU